UGCGUAACACGUAUCCAACCUGCCGUCUACUCUUGGACAGCCUUCUGAAAGGAAGAUUAAUACAAGAUGGCAUCAUGAGUUCACAUGUUCACAUGAUUAAAGGUAUUCCGGUAGACGAUGGGGAUGCGUUCCAUUAGAUAGUAGGCGGGGUAACGGCCCACCUAGUCUUCGAUGGAUAGGGGUUCUGAGAGGAAGGUCCCCCACAUUGGAACUGAGACACGGUCCAA
RNAcentral lists this ribosomal RNA (227 nucleotides) under uncultured bacterium. RNAcentral describes it as "partial 16S ribosomal RNA". It matches the Rfam family "Bacterial small subunit ribosomal RNA", at positions 107 to 334 of the family's 1533-position model. The record is from RNAcentral.